AUUGAACGCUGGCGGCAGGCCUAACACAUGCAAGUCGAGCGGAUGAAGGGAGCUUGCUCCUGGAUUCAGCGGCGGACGGGUGAGUAAUGCCUAGGAAUCUGCCUGGUAGUGGGGGAUAACGUCCGGAAACGGGCGCUAAUACCGCAUACGUCCUGAGGGAGAAAGUGGGGGAUCUUCGGACCUCACGCUAUCAGAUGAGCCUAGGUCGGAUUAGCUAGUUGGUGGGGUAAAGGCCUACCAAGGCGACGAUCCGUAACUGGUCUGAGAGGAUGAUCAGUCAACAGGGAAAGGAGAAAGGGGCCAAAACCCUAGGGGGGGGAGAGGGGGGGAAUUUUGGAAAAGGGGGGAAAGCCGUAUCCAGCCAGGCCGGGGGUGGGAAGAAGGUUUUCGGAUUGUAAAACAAUUUAAGGGGGGGGGAAGGGAAAGAAGUUAAAACCUUGCUGUUUGGACGUUACCAACAAAAAAAGCACAGGCAAAAUUCUG
Molecule: ribosomal RNA, 483 nt
Filed under: uncultured bacterium
Lineage: Bacteria
Description: partial 16S ribosomal RNA
Rfam family: Bacterial small subunit ribosomal RNA
Source: RNAcentral